This 1177-nucleotide long non-coding RNA is filed under the name Homo sapiens (human). RNAcentral's name for it is "p53 upregulated regulator of p53 levels". The record is from RNAcentral. Lineage: Eukaryota; Metazoa; Chordata; Mammalia; Primates; Hominidae.
CUCUUGAGCUCUUGUGGUGACCUGGGAAUCAAUGUGUGAGGUGGUGCUAUGUAGCAGGAACCCCUCUUGCUUUGCAAAUAGUUUUUUGUUUGUUUUCCUUUUUGCCCAAUAGAGCCCUGCUCUACUGACCCUUCAAUGUGCCCGUGUGCCUAAAUAUUCCUGGUCGUGUGAAAAGAACCCAGGUAUUAGCUGAACUAAGGAGCACAAUUCUGCAACAUUUUGGCACCCAAACACGGGGCUUGAGAAAUGAAUGCAAUUGGAGAAACUGGUUGUUUUACCAGGCGUUGAUUGGAAAUGUGUGCUUCCCUUUAAGCAGUCAAGCUCAACUUGCAGAACUGAUGGGAACCCCUUGGGAAAACUGGCCUCAAAUGUUUGUCUACACAGUCCACAUACAGGGUUCUUAACCUGCGGAAACACUUUCUGAAAAUGUCAGAACUCUUGAAAACAUGGAUGAGGAAAAGCAUAAGUACUGCUUUAUGCUUUUCUUAUGAAUUUUAAAAGAUGUAAUUUAAAGAUUGAAACUCCCACAACUUUGGCAGACCAACUCCUCAGAAAACAUUAUUCUUUGACAUCAAUAUGUUUUGCACAAAAUUGAAUGGCAAGUGAAAGGCAUCAAAUGCAUAUUUAACUAUCCGGCUAUUUUGGAGAUUGAAAAAAGAAGACCUGAUUUAUCAUGUGCAAUAUCUCACACAUCUGUCAUUUCUAUUCUACCGCAAUUCGAUGGAGUCUUGUUCUGUGGUCCAGGCUAGAGGGCAGUGGCAUGAUCUCGGCUCACUACAAGCUCUGCCUCCCGGGUUCACGCCAUUCUCCUGCCUCAGCCUCCUGAGUAGCUGGGACUACAGGCGCCCGCCACCACGCCUGGCUAAUUUUUUGUAUAUUUACUAGAGAUGGCUAGUGUUAGCCAAGAUGGUCUCGAUCUCCUGACCUCGUGAUCUGCCCACCUCAGCCUGCCAAAGUGCUGGGAUUACUGGCGUGAGCCACCGUGCCUGGCCAGCAUCCUCUAAUUAUUAUUCAUAGUUUGUGAAUUUAGGCCUACGUGAAUAAUAAUAUAAUAUUUACUAUGAUGUUACUAUCUACCAACCUUAUUUUUCUUUUCUAUAAAAUAGGAGCCAAAAUAAUAUUUAUGUCAUACCUUAUGAAGUUAAAAUAAAAUAUAACGAAUGAGGGGCUUAACAAU